This 625-nucleotide ribosomal RNA is filed under the name Arthrobacter sp. MM_E15. Its description in RNAcentral is "bacterial SSU rRNA". It matches the Rfam family "Bacterial small subunit ribosomal RNA", at positions 30 to 670 of the family's 1533-position model. Lineage: Bacteria; Bacillati; Actinomycetota; Actinomycetes; Micrococcales; Micrococcaceae. The record is from RNAcentral.
UGAACGCUGGCGGCGUGCUUAACACAUGCAAGUCGAACGAUGAUCCCAGCUUGCUGGGGGAUUAGUGGCGAACGGGUGAGUAACACGUGAGUAACCUGCCCUUGACUCUGGGAUAAGCCUGGGAAACUGGGUCUAAUACCGGAUAUGACUGUCUGACGCAUGUCAGGUGGUGGAAAGCUUUUGUGGUUUUGGAUGGACUCGCGGCCUAUCAGCUUGUUGGUGGGGUAAUGGCCUACCAAGGCGACGACGGGUAGCCGGCCUGAGAGGGUGACCGGCCACACUGGGACUGAGACACGGCCCAGACUCCUACGGGAGGCAGCAGUGGGGAAUAUUGCACAAUGGGCGCAAGCCUGAUGCAGCGACGCCGCGUGAGGGAUGACGGCCUUCGGGUUGUAAACCUCUUCCAGUAGGGAAGAAGCAAAAGUGACGGUACCUGCAGAAGAAGCGCCGGCUAACUACGUGCCAGCAGCCGCGGUAAUACGUAGGGCGCAAGCGUUAUCCGGAAUUAUUGGGCGUAAAGGGCUCGUAGGCGGUUUGUCGCGUCUGCUGUAAAAGACCCGGGCUCAACUCCGGUUCUGCAGUGGGUACGGGCAGACUAGAGUGCAGUAGGGGAGACUGGAAUUCC